CAGUCAUGAGGGAAGAAUGACUCUGUCAUGUGAAACAUGUAACAGAAUAAGUAAUUGCCUUAUAGGACAGAAAAAAUAAGGCCAGAGGGAAAGAUAAACUCUUGUGUCCAGCUUGGAAAGAUAAUGACUCAACUCGGUGAAGUGGGAGAGUCAGGCAUGGUUGGUUUGAAAAUUAGGAAUGUCUUACUUGAUGGUGAAAUUUUUCUUGUGUAGGUUUACUUCUGGGAUAGGGUCCGUGAGUCUGUCUGAAGGGACCAGAGCAGAAUGUCACUCCAUUAGAUUUUGAGAACCUUUCAUUUUCAAGUUUUGUCUUUUCUUUUUCCUCCAAGGGGCCAGGGAAUGGGAAAGUACUGGGUGCUAACGGGCCAUUUACCUCAGAGAGCCCCACGUUUUGGAGGAAAUAACGUGGAGAAUCAGAGGAGAGGAGUCUUCCGAGGGACCUCCAAGUUGUCAAGCAACACCCAGAAGCUUACAGCUAGAAUGAGUGUUGAUCCCUAAAUGGAAGGAAAAAGGAGUCGAAAUGGAAUUGAAGACAUUGAACCGUGUGAAGCAACUUACACUGUGGAGCUUCAGGUUACGAAUGAGUUCGUUUUCAUCCACGCAUGAUCCACGUGAAGUCCACUACACAUCCAUGAUGCUCCCUGGAAGGAGUUUAGAAUAAUGCCCGGCACCUGCUAAGGGCUCAGUCAAUGUUGGCUCUUUACCUCUGACUCCACCUACAAUUUCCAUAAUUCCAGGGUCAUGAACAACCUCAGCCGAGCUUUCUAAAGCAAAUACACGAAGGAAGAGUUAAGGCUUCAUCUCCCUGACUCUUCCUCGUUGGAGUUGCUUUCUCCGUGUUUCACUGUACUCAUAUUCAUCAGGCUCGGAGAUUCUUACUGCAUUUGGCUUUAUCUUGAUUACAGGACGAUUGGAAACCGAUGGUUUCUAUUAUUUUUGAAAAGCAUCUGAAAGCUUCGAACAAUAAACACAUUUAUGCAUCUUC
This is a long non-coding RNA of Canis lupus familiaris (dog), 985 nucleotides long. RefSeq lists it as uncharacterized. The record is from RefSeq and is a predicted model, not a curated record. The transcript has 2 exons. NCBI's taxonomy places the organism in Eukaryota, Metazoa, Chordata, Mammalia, Carnivora, Canidae.